RNAcentral lists this ribosomal RNA (116 nucleotides) under Pteropus alecto (black flying fox). The record is from RNAcentral. Lineage: Eukaryota; Metazoa; Chordata; Mammalia; Chiroptera; Pteropodidae.
GUCUACGCCCAUGCUACCCUGAACAAGCCCGAUCCCAUCGGAUCUUGGAAACUAAGCAGGGUUGGGCCUGGUUAGUACUUGGAUGAGAGACCACCUAAGACCAGGUGCUGUAGGCA